This 541-nucleotide ribosomal RNA is filed under the name uncultured bacterium. RNAcentral describes it as "bacterial SSU rRNA". It matches the Rfam family "Bacterial small subunit ribosomal RNA", at positions 777 to 1315 of the family's 1533-position model. The record is from RNAcentral.
AAUAGAUACCCCGGUAGUCCACCCCGUAGACGUUGGGAACUAGUUGUGGGGUCCUUUCCACGGAUUCCGUGACGCAGCUAACGCAUUAAGUUCCCCGCCUGGGGAGUACGGCCGCAAGGCUAAAACUCAAAGGAAUUGACGGGGACCCGCACAAGCGGCGGAGCAUGCGGAUUAAUUCGAUGCAACGCGAAGAACCUUACCAAGGCUUGACAUACACCAGAACACCCUAGAAAUAGGGGACUCUUUGGACACUGGUGAACAGGUGGUGCAUGGUUGUCGUCAGCUCGUGUCGUGAGAUGUUGGGUUAAGUCCCGCAACGAGCGCAACCCUCGUUCUAUGUUGCCAGCACGUAAUGGUGGGAACUCAUGGGAUACUGCCGGGGUCAACUCGGAGGAAGGUGGGGAUGACGUCAAAUCGAUCAUGCCCCUUAUGUCUUGGGCUUCACGCAUGCUACAAUGGCCGGUACAAAGGGCUGCAAUACCGUGAGGUGGAGCGAAUCCCAAAAAGCCGGUCCCAGUUCGGAUUGAGGUCUGCAACUCGA